AUUGAACGCUGGCGGCAGGCCUAACACAUGCAAGUCGAGCGAGCGGCGGACGGGUGAGUAAUGUAUGGGGAUCUGCCUGAUGGAGGGGGAUAACUACUGGAAACGGUAGCUAAUAGCGCAUACCAUCAGAUAUACCCAUAUGGGAUGGGCUAGUAGGUGAGGUAACGGCUCACCUAGGCGAUGAUCCCUAGCUGGUCUGAGAGGAUGAUCUGCCACACUGGGACUGGGACACGGCCCAGACUCUUACGGGAGGCAGCAGGGGGGAAUAUUGCACAAUGGACGCAAGCCUGAUGCAGCCAUGCCGCGUGUAUGAAGAAGGCCUUCGGGUUGUAAAGUACUUUCAGUCGGGAGGCGUUACCGACAGAAGAAGCACCGGCUAACUCCGUGCCAGCAGCCGCGGUAAUAC
This 406-nucleotide ribosomal RNA is filed under the name uncultured bacterium. RNAcentral describes it as "partial 16S ribosomal RNA". It matches the Rfam family "Bacterial small subunit ribosomal RNA", at positions 30 to 526 of the family's 1533-position model. The record is from RNAcentral.